This 698-nucleotide ribosomal RNA is filed under the name Vibrio sp. MED222. RNAcentral's name for it is "bacterial SSU rRNA". It matches the Rfam family "Bacterial small subunit ribosomal RNA", at positions 838 to 1533 of the family's 1533-position model. The record is from RNAcentral. Lineage: Bacteria; Pseudomonadati; Pseudomonadota; Gammaproteobacteria; Vibrionales; Vibrionaceae.
CGUGGCUUUCGGAGCUAACGCGUUAAGUAGACCGCCUGGGGAGUACGGUCGCAAGAUUAAAACUCAAAUGAAUUGACGGGGGCCCGCACAAGCGGUGGAGCAUGUGGUUUAAUUCGAUGCAACGCGAAGAACCUUACCUACUCUUGACAUCCAGAGAAGCCAGCGGAGACGCAGGUGUGCCUUCGGGAGCUCUGAGACAGGUGCUGCAUGGCUGUCGUCAGCUCGUGUUGUGAAAUGUUGGGUUAAGUCCCGCAACGAGCGCAACCCUUAUCCUUGUUUGCCAGCGAGUAAUGUCGGGAACUCCAGGGAGACUGCCGGUGAUAAACCGGAGGAAGGUGGGGACGACGUCAAGUCAUCAUGGCCCUUACGAGUAGGGCUACACACGUGCUACAAUGGCGCAUACAGAGGGCAGCAAGCUAGCGAUAGUGAGCGAAUCCCAAAAAGUGCGUCGUAGUCCGGAUUGGAGUCUGCAACUCGACUCCAUGAAGUCGGAAUCGCUAGUAAUCGUGAAUCAGAAUGUCACGGUGAAUACGUUCCCGGGCCUUGUACACACCGCCCGUCACACCAUGGGAGUGGGCUGCAAAAGAAGUGGGUAGUUUAACCUUUCGGGGAGGACGCUCACCACUUUGUGGUUCAUGACUGGGGUGAAGUCGUAACAAGGUAGCCCUAGGGGAACCUGGGGCUGGAUCACCUCCUUA